GGCCUACCAUGGUGGUAACGGGUAACGGGGUGUUAGGGCACGACACCGGAGAGGGAGCCUGAGAAACGGCUACCACAUCCAAGGAUGGCAGCAGGCGCGCAUAUUACCCAAUCCCGACACGGGGAGGUAGUGACAAUAAAUAACAAUACGGGGUUCUUUCGGAUCUCGUAAUUGGAAUGAGUACAAUUUAAAUCUCUUAACGAGGAACAAUUGGAGGGCAAGUCUGGUGCCAGCAGCCGCGGUAAUUCCAGCUCCAAUAGCGUAUAUUAAAGUUGUUGCAGUUAAAAAGCUCGUAGUUGAAUUUCGGGAUCAAUAUAUUGGUCAUGCUUAGGUAUGUACUGGUAUUAUUGAUUUCUCCCUUCUGAAGAACCAUAAUGUCAUUAAUUUGAUGUCAUGGGGAAUCAGGACUGUUACUUUGAAAAAAUUAGAGUGUUUAAAGCAGGCUUUCGCUUGAAUACAUUAGCAUGGAAUAAUGAAAUAGGACGUUUGAUUCUAUUUUGUUGGUUUCUAAGAUCGACGUAAUGAUUAAUAGGGAUAGUUGGGGGCAUUAGUAUUCAAUUGUCAGAGGUGAAAUUCUUGGAUUUAUUGAAGACUAACUACUGCGAAAGCAUUUGCCAAGGAUGUUUUCAUUAAUCAAGAACGAAAGUUAGGGGAUCGAAGACGAUCAGAUACCGUCGUAGUCUUAACCAUAAACUAUGCCGACUAGGGAUCGGAUGAUGUUAAUUUUUUAAUGACUCAUUCGGCGCCUUACG
RNAcentral lists this ribosomal RNA (752 nucleotides) under uncultured Glomus. RNAcentral describes it as "SSU rRNA". It matches the Rfam family "Eukaryotic small subunit ribosomal RNA", at positions 338 to 1092 of the family's 1831-position model. Lineage: Eukaryota; Fungi; Glomeromycota; Glomeromycetes; Glomerales; Glomeraceae. The record is from RNAcentral.